CCUACGGGGGGCUGCAGUGGGGAAUAUUGGACAAUGGGGGCAACCCUGAUCCAGCCAUGCCGCGUGUGUGAAGAAGGCCCUCGGGUUGUAAAGCACUUUCAGUGAGGAAGAACGCCUGGUGGUUAAUACCCAUCAGGAAAGACAUCACUCACAGAAGAAGCACCGGCUAACUCCGUGCCAGCAGCCGCGGUAAUACGGAGGGUGCGAGCGUUAAUCGGAAUUACUGGGCGUAAAGCGCGCGUAGGUGGCUUGAUAAGCCGGUUGUGAAAGCCCCGGGCUCAACCCGGGAACGGCAUCCGGAACUGGCAAGCUAGAGUGCAGGAGAGGAAGGUAGAAUUCCCGGUGUAGCGGUGAAAUGCGUAGAGAUCUGGAGGAAUACCAGUGGCGAAGGCGGCCUUCUGGACUGACACUGACACUGAGGUGCGAAAGCGUGGGUAGCAAACAGGAUUAGAUACCCUGGUAGUC
Molecule: ribosomal RNA, 465 nt
Filed under: Vreelandella stevensii
Lineage: Bacteria; Pseudomonadati; Pseudomonadota; Gammaproteobacteria; Oceanospirillales; Halomonadaceae
Description: partial 16S ribosomal RNA
Rfam family: Bacterial small subunit ribosomal RNA
Source: RNAcentral